RNAcentral lists this long non-coding RNA (1009 nucleotides) under Capra hircus (goat). RNAcentral describes it as "lncRNA (ENSCHIG00010005986.1)". Lineage: Eukaryota; Metazoa; Chordata; Mammalia; Artiodactyla; Bovidae. The record is from RNAcentral.
GGGCGGGGGGGGGGGAACUGGUCAGGAGCAGUUCCACAGGGCCCAGGGCCCCUCUCUGGCACGGCUUAUUGUUGUGAUGACUCCCUUGCUUGCUCCUGGCAUCUUACUCCGACAGAGCUGAUGCUUGUGAAUGCUGCUGUUCCCCAGCUCCAGUUGAUGGUUAAUUGGAUGCCUGCUGUUCCACCCGGGAGGUGGGGUGGGGGUGGAGGGGGUGGGAUAGAUGGCAUUUCCCACGACUGUCCCCAGAGGCCGUCCUUGCGCCCACAGGACCAACAACAUAGCCGGGGCAGGAGCGUGGCCCUAGAGGCGAUCGGCCUGGCCACUCACUAGCUGUGUGACCUCAAGUGACCUGGCUUCUCCAGCGUUAGUCCCUGGACCGUAAAAGGACUAAGUCAGAGGGCACUCCUCGUGGCUGAAGAGGGAAGGGAAGACGCGGGAAGUCUCGGGAAUCGCUGCCCGCUGCGGGAAGCAGGAGAAAGCCCUCGGUGGCCGCGCUACGCCAGACCUCGCCUCUCAGAGGGGCGGCGCUCCGACCAAGCCCGCAGGUGGAGGGCGGGCGCACGCUCUGGGGCGCCGGGGCGAUAGGCGCAGGGAGCUCCGCCUGCCGACGUUUUUAAUGUCGGGAUUUACAGCUAACUGGAAGCCAAUUAACUCUUGGGGGACAGGCGGCGCUCAGAGCUGCGGAGACGCGGGAGGUGAAGUCUCGCCUGCCCCUGAACUCAGGCGAUGCCAGCUGCACCCGACCGGAAGUGUGCACCACAGAGAGGCCGGCCGGCCCCGGAACGCCUAGAGCGGCACCGGAAGCUCUCCGGGCGGGCCCUUCGGCCGAUUUCCGGCCGCGGCGUGCGGGCUCCUGUGCAGGCUUUGUCGGCCGGUCUGCGGGGCGGGCGGCUGGCAGUCCGCGUGCGGGGCGCCGGCGUCCUCUCGCCGUUGGGCGCCGGGUGCUGACUGGUGACCAGAAGGGGACUCGGAGCCUGGGUUUCUGGGCGUGGGAACCUGCAGAAGGCAG